This 253-nucleotide ribosomal RNA is filed under the name uncultured bacterium. Its description in RNAcentral is "partial 16S ribosomal RNA". It matches the Rfam family "Bacterial small subunit ribosomal RNA", at positions 524 to 776 of the family's 1533-position model. The record is from RNAcentral.
GACAGAGGGGGCAAGCGUUGCUCGGAAUUACUGGGCGUAAAGGGCGCGUAGGCGGGAUGGCAAGUCGGUCGUGAAAUCCCUCGGCUCAACCGAGGAACGUCGAUCGAUACUGCUGGUCUUGAGGAUUGCAGAGGAGACUGGAAUUCCCGGUGUAGCGGUGAAAUGCGCAGAUAUCAGGAGGAACACCGGUGGCGAAGGCGGGUCUCUGGGCCGAUACUGACGCUGAGGAGCGAAAGCGUGGGGAGCGAACAGG